Non-coding RNA from Cricetulus griseus (Chinese hamster), 809 nucleotides. NCBI's taxonomy places the organism in Eukaryota, Metazoa, Chordata, Mammalia, Rodentia, Cricetidae. The record is from RefSeq and is a predicted model, not a curated record.
CUAUCCUGGCACUUGCUCUGGAGACCAGGCUGGCCUCGAACUCACAGAGAUCCUCCUGCCUCUGCCUCCUGAGUGCUGGGAUUAAAGGCGUGCACCACCCACGCCUGGCACUUCUAUUCUUUCCCUGCUACCAGGCAGCUGUCGUACUUGGGCCAGCCCUUCCUGGAAGCCUUUAUUCAAACCCCACUCCCUUCUUGCACUGGAAUGGACACUCCAAUACCCCUCAGGGACUACCUGCCCUACAGUAUGCACUCAGCCCUGCAGAACUCUCCAGUCUUCCUGGGAGUACACACCUGCCAUCCUUUCAGUACUUACGACAAUCCUUCAUGCAUGAAAGUCCUGUCCUUUGUAGGGGUGGGGCACAUGUGAGAAUUCCAGGCUUGUCCCUGCCUUGGCACAGAGGAGGGGUCCUCCUCUCUCCUACUUGCAGCCCUCUUUGGGGGGGAAUAUGCCACACUAGCCAUAUAGUGGGCCCUGUGCUAUAGCGGGGGCUUGGCUGGGCCUGGGUCUUCCCUUCUGUCCUAUUAAGCCAUGGGUACUUCCACAGCUUAUAACUGCUGUGAGCUAGAGUUGAAUUUACAUAUCUGGAAUUAGUAGAGGGUUUCUUUUUUAUCCCCUACCCCCAAAUCAUUAUCUUGUUUCAAAUUUUUGUGUUGAAGGCUGAUAUUUGAAUAAGGAACAAGGAAGCUAUUCUGCACCAGAUAACCCCAAACCACAAUUGGGCAAAGUGGAACAUCCUCCUUGCUGGAAGCUGGAUGUAUGUAAAGAAUGCAUUUAUUGUUUCUCUAUUAAAUUAUUUUCCAUACUUA